ACUUGUAUUAGUUUACUUGAGAUCAGAUUAGAUUAAAUUAGAUGAAAUAAAAUUAGAUUAGAUGAGUUUCUAUGUGUCGCUUGACUCAUCAUUUCCUCCCCUUCCACAACCGUCUUGACCUCAGCGGGGGUGGGGGCUCCCCAGGGAGGCCUCACUCCACCUGCUGCUUGCCACGCCCCAGUCCUCUAUCCCCAGGGACAUGUCUCUGGACCUGGUCGUCCAGCCCCAACGCAUGCUGCUCAAGGUCUCCCACCCCCUGAAGACCAUCCACAUGAAGGGGCAACUUGUUCAAGAGAGAAAUACCAGAAAAGCAAAAGUGGAGCUCUCACUAGAUGGUGUUCAUCACUAUUAUUUCAUGGCUUCGGUUGAUUCCAAAACACUGCUGACGGAACGAAGGAGCCGAUAUCACCUGGAGGCCAAGUGGGCACCCAGCACACCUCCUAU
Gadus chalcogrammus (walleye pollock) is the source of this 444-nucleotide long non-coding RNA. RefSeq lists it as uncharacterized. NCBI's taxonomy places the organism in Eukaryota, Metazoa, Chordata, Actinopteri, Gadiformes, Gadidae. The record is from RefSeq and is a predicted model, not a curated record. The transcript is spliced from 3 exons.